GACGAACGCUGGCGGCGUGCUUAACACAUGCCAGUCGAACGGAAAGGCCCUGCUUUUGUGGGGUGCUCGAGUGGCGAACGGGUGAGUAACACGUGAGUAACCUGCUCUUGACUUUGGGAUAACUUCAGGAAACUGGGGCUAAUACCGUAUAGGAGCCCCUGCUGCAUGGUGGGGGUUGGAAAGUUUCGGCUGUUGGGGAUGGACUCGCGGCUAAUCGGCUUGUUGGUGGGGUAGUGGCUUACCAAGGCUUUGACGGGUAGCCGGCCUGGGAGGGUGACCGGGGACAAUGGGACUGAGAUACGGCCCAGUCUCCUACGGGAGGCAGUAGUGGGGAAUAUUGCACAGUGGGCGGAAGCCUGAUGCGGCGACACCGCGGGCGGGAUGACGGCCUUCGGGUUGUGAACCGCUUUCGCCUGUGACGAAGCGUGAGUGACGGUAAUGGGUAAAGAAGCACCGGCUAACUACGUG
RNAcentral lists this ribosomal RNA (468 nucleotides) under uncultured bacterium. Its description in RNAcentral is "partial 16S ribosomal RNA". It matches the Rfam family "Bacterial small subunit ribosomal RNA", at positions 28 to 507 of the family's 1533-position model. The record is from RNAcentral.